This 360-nucleotide ribosomal RNA is filed under the name uncultured soil bacterium. RNAcentral's name for it is "bacterial SSU rRNA". It matches the Rfam family "Bacterial small subunit ribosomal RNA", at positions 26 to 396 of the family's 1533-position model. The record is from RNAcentral.
AGAUUGAACGCUGGCGGCAUGCCUAACACAUGCAAGUCGAACGGGAGUAGCAAUACUCUAGUGGCGGACGGGUGAGGAAUACGUAGGAAUUUGCCCUUAAGUGGGGGAUAACCCGGGGAAACCCGGAUUAAUACCGCAUGACCUCGAAAGAGCAAAGUGGGGGAUCGCAAGACCUCACGCUUUUGGAGAAGCCUACGUCGGAUUAGCUAGUUGGUGAGGUAAUGGCUCACCAAGGCGACGAUCCGUAACUGGUCUGAGAGGAUGAUCAGUCACGACCGGACUGAGACACGGUCCGACUCCGUACGGGAGCAGCAGGUGGGAAUAGUGGACAAGUGGGCGACAACGCCUAGGACUACCGAG